ACUCAUGUUUAACUAUAAAUUUAGACUCAGAACAAGAAUUUUAUAUUGACCCAUUGGCAUAUGAACUUUCAUUCAAUGUCACAGGUGCAACAUUAGCAGCCAGAAGCUGAGAUGCUGAAGAGUUUAAACUACCUGGUGAGCUGUGAAUGGAGAAACAUGACACACCAGAAAGUGCAACUGGAUUUCAAGAAAGCAAAAGUAACUACAUUUCCCUUGAAAAGGGGACUGAAGCCUUGCAGUCUGUUACGAGAGCAGAGAAAGUUGUUCUUCCCUGAAGAAAGACACUCCACAGAAAAAUCAAGAAGUCCAAAUAUUUCCAAGUGAGCACCAACUGGCAUGCCAUCUCUUGACAAUAUUGUUUCCUGAGAGUAAACCAUAAACAGCUAUACACCUGGGUACUAUAUUUUAGUAGAACAACCACAACAAAAAGACAAAAUCUGUGUUCCCUUUUGGUAUUUUGCUACCAGCUUCCACACUCAUCUAUGUAAUUGUCUGUGUUUUCCAAUAUCCUACAUAUAUUUUCUUCUGAGCAGACCUGCAGUGCCACUAAGGUUCUCAUUCAGACCAAUUUAUUAUGUAGGUCCUACAAGAAGUUAGCCAACUAAAACUGGUGUCUUACUCCAUUUUUGGAAAUAUCAACAUACAAAUUACAGUACAGGAAAAAGCCAUCAAUGCCUAUGAGUACAUCUCACUUCUAACACCACAUUAAAUCACACUUGAGAGAAUCACAGGACAGGCAGUAUCUCUUUUCACCUAUUUUGAGAAGCACUUUCAUCCAAUUAGGUGCUACAGUAAUAAAUUCUUAUUUUCAUUAUUAAAGAAGCA
This 825-nucleotide long non-coding RNA is filed under the name Cyanistes caeruleus (blue tit). RNAcentral's name for it is "lncRNA (ENSCCEG00000016062.1)". Lineage: Eukaryota; Metazoa; Chordata; Aves; Passeriformes; Paridae. The record is from RNAcentral.